CUCAUACAUGCAGUCGAACGAGGUCUUCGGACCUAGUGGCGCACGGGUGAGUAACAUGUGGGAAUCUACCUGAAGGUUCGGAAUAACUGCGGGAAACUGUAGCUAAUACCGGAUGUGUCUGCAAAGAGAAAGAUUUAUCGCCUUCAGAUGAGCCCGCAUUAGAUUAGCUAGUUGGUGAGGUAACUGCUCCACCAAGGCUACGAUCUAUAGCUGAUUUGAGAGGAUGAUCAGCCACACUGGGACUGAGACACGGCCCAGACUCCUACGGGAGGCAGCAGUAGGGAAUAUUGGACAAUGGGGGAAACCCUGAUCCAGCAAUGCCGCGUGAGUGAAGAAGGCCUUCGGGUUGUAAAACUCUUUCAUCAACGAUGAUAAUGACAUUAAUUGAAGAAGAAGCCCCGGCUAACUUCGUGCCAGCAGCCGCGGUAAUACGAAGGGGGCUAGCGUUGUUCGGAAUCAUUGGGCGUAAAGCGUAUGUAGGCGGAUCAAAAAGUUAGAUGUGAAAUCCCUGGGCUCAACCCAGGAACUGCGUUUAAAACUAGUGAUCUAGAAUUUGGUAGGGGUUAGUAGAAUUUCCAGUGUAGAGGUGAAAUUCGUAGAUAUUGGAAAGAAUACCAGUGGCGAAGGCGACUAACUGGGCCAUUUUUGACGCUAAGAUACGAAAGCGUGGGUAGCAAACAGGAUUAGAUACCCUGGUAGUCCACGCAGUAAACGAUGAGUGCUAGUCGCUGGGACAAUAGUUUCAGUGUCGAAGCUAACGCAUUAAGCACUCCGCCUGGGAAGUACGGUCGCAAGAUUAAAACUCAAAUAAAUUGACGGGGGCCCGCACAAGCGGUGGAGCAUGUGGUUUAAUUCGAAGCAACGCGAAGAACCUUACCAGACCUUGACAUGGUGUGUUUGAAUUACAGAAUCGUAAUUCUUCAGUUCGGCUGGCACACACACAGGUGCUGCAUGGCUGUCGUCAGCUCGUGUCGUGAGAUGUUGGGUUAAGUCCCGCAACGAGCGCAACCCUUCAUUUUUAGUUGCCAUCAGGU
RNAcentral lists this ribosomal RNA (1034 nucleotides) under uncultured bacterium. Its description in RNAcentral is "bacterial SSU rRNA". It matches the Rfam family "Bacterial small subunit ribosomal RNA", at positions 48 to 1126 of the family's 1533-position model. The record is from RNAcentral.